GCCAUCGUGGCGCAAUGGUAGCGCAUCACCUUCCUAUGUGUGGGGUUUCUUCAUAAGGACUAGGUGGGGGUUGCGGGUUCGAUCCCCGUCGGUGGUA
Polyporus arcularius HHB13444 is the source of this 97-nucleotide non-coding RNA. The record is from the annotation of a GenBank genome assembly. Lineage: Eukaryota; Fungi; Basidiomycota; Agaricomycetes; Polyporales; Polyporaceae.